GGCCUUGACAUACUAAGAACUUUCCAGAGAUGGAUUGGUGCCUUCGGGAACUUAGAUACAGGUGCUGCAUGGCUGUCGUCAGCUCGUGUCGUGAGAUGUUGGGUUAAGUCCCGCAACGAGCGCAACCUUUUCCUUAUUUGCCAGCGGGUCAUGCCGGGAACUUUAAGGAUACUGCCAGUGACAAACUGGAGGAAGGCGGGGACGACGUCAAGUCAUCAUGGCCCUUACGGCCAGGGCUACACACGUGCUACAAUGGUCGGUACAAAGGGUUGCUACCUCGCGAGAGGAUGCUAAUCUCAAAAAGCCGAUCGUAGUCCGGAUCGCAGUCUGCAACUCGACUGCGUGAAGUCGGAAUCGCUAGUAAUCGCGGAUCAGAAUGCCGCGGUGAAUACGUUCCCGGGCCUUGUACACACCGCCCGUCACACCAUGGGAGUUUGUUGCACCAGAAGUAGGUAGUCUAACCGCAAGGAGGACGCUUACCACGGUGUGGCCGAUGACUGGGGUGAAGUCGUAACAAGGUAAGCGUAGAUGA
Molecule: ribosomal RNA, 532 nt
Filed under: uncultured bacterium
Lineage: Bacteria
Description: bacterial SSU rRNA
Rfam family: Bacterial small subunit ribosomal RNA
Source: RNAcentral